CACCUCAGUGUCAGUAUUAGUCCAGGUGGUCGCCUUCGCCACUGGUGUUCCUUCCUAUAUCUACGCAUUUCACCGCUACACAGGAAAUUCCACCACCCUCUACCAUACUCUAGCUCAGUCAGUUUUGAAUGCAGUUCCCACGGUUGAGCCCGGGGAUUUCACAUCCAACUUAACAAACCACCUACGUCGCGCUUUACGCCCAGUAAUUCCGAUUAACGCUUGCACCCUCUGUAUUACCGCGGCUGCUGGCACAGAGUUAGCCGGUGCUUAUUCUGUCAGUAACGUCAAAACACUAACGUAUUAGCGUUAAUGCCCUUCCUCCCAACUUAAAGUGCUUUACAAUCCGAAGGACCUUCUUCACACACGCGGCAUGGCUGGAUCAGGCUUGCGCCCAUUGUGCAAUAUUCCCCACUGCUGCCUCCCGUAGGAGUCUGGACCGUGUCUCAGUUCCAGUGUGACUGAUCAUCCUCUCAGAACCAGUUACGGAUCGUCGCCUUGGGUGAGCCAUUACCUCACCAACUAGCUAAUCCGAUCUAGGCUCAUCUGAUAGCGC
Molecule: ribosomal RNA, 553 nt
Filed under: Pseudomonas sp. G2SF38
Lineage: Bacteria; Pseudomonadati; Pseudomonadota; Gammaproteobacteria; Pseudomonadales; Pseudomonadaceae
Description: partial 16S ribosomal RNA
Source: RNAcentral